CAGUAGCCGCGGUAAUACGUAGGGUGCGAGCGUCAAUCGGAAUUACUGGGCGUAAAGCGUGCGCAGGCGGUUGUGUAAGACAGGUGUGAAAUCCCCGGGCUUAACCUGGGAACUGCGCUUGUGACUGCACAGCCAGAGUAUGGCAGAGGGGGGUGGAAUUCCACGUGUAGCAGUGAAAUGCGUAGAGAUGUGGAGGAACACCGAUGGCGAAGGCAGCCCCCUGGGCCAAUACUGACGCUCAUGCACGAAAGCGUGGGGAGCAAACAGGAUUAGAUACCCGUGUAGUCCCUGUCUCUUAUAC
This 301-nucleotide ribosomal RNA is filed under the name uncultured bacterium. Its description in RNAcentral is "partial 16S ribosomal RNA". It matches the Rfam family "Bacterial small subunit ribosomal RNA", at positions 509 to 807 of the family's 1533-position model. The record is from RNAcentral.